This 401-nucleotide ribosomal RNA is filed under the name uncultured bacterium. Its description in RNAcentral is "bacterial SSU rRNA". It matches the Rfam family "Bacterial small subunit ribosomal RNA", at positions 355 to 773 of the family's 1533-position model. The record is from RNAcentral.
UCGGGAAUUUUGGGCAAUGGGCGAAAGCCUGAUCCAGCAACGCCGCGUGAGGGAUGAAGUAUUUCGGUAUGUAAACCUCGAAAGAAUGGGAAGAAUAAAUGACGGUACCAUUUAUAAGCUCCGGCUAACUACGUGCCAGCAGCCGCGGUAAUACGUAGGGAGCAAGCGCUGUUCGGAUUUACUGGGGGUAAAGGGCGCGUAGGCGGCGCGGUAAGUCACUUGUGAAAUCUCUGGGCUUAACUCAGAACGGCCAAGUGAUACUGCUGUGCUAGAGUGCGGAAGAGGCAACCGGAAUUCUUGGUGUAGCGGUGAAAUGCGUAGAGAUCAAGAGGAACACCUGAGGCGAAGGCGGGUUGCUGGGCCGACACUGACGCUGAUGCGCGAAAGCCAGGGGAGCAAAC